GCAAAUUUCGUGACGAAAAAUAUUUUUCAUUAAUAAUUAGUUAUUAUUUAAAUUGUUAAUCAAUAAUUUCAAAAAAAAAAAAUCAAUAUAAUCCAAUAAAUUUAAAAAUGAAAACAUCACAAUCCUCCUCAUUCUCUCAAUCGCGUUUUUCCUCCGUAAAUUCAUAAUGCAAAUUAUGCAAUAGCACACCUGCCCGAUU
Molecule: long non-coding RNA, 199 nt
Filed under: Lotus japonicus
Lineage: Eukaryota; Viridiplantae; Streptophyta; Magnoliopsida; Fabales; Fabaceae
Description: long non-coding RNA (LJAP_LNC001871)
Source: RNAcentral